UACGGAGGGUGCAAGCGUUAAUCGGAAUUACUGGGCGUAAAGCGUGCGUAGGUGGUUUGUUAAGUCAGAUGUGAAAGCCCCGGGCUCAACCUGGGAAUUGCAUUUGAGACUGCUCUGCUCGGGUGCGGAAGAGGGAAGCGGAAUUUCCGGUGUAGCGGUGAAAUGCGUAGAUAUCGGAAGGAACACCAGUGGCGAAAGCGGCUUCCUGGUCCGACACCGACGUUCAGGCACGAAAGCGUGGGGAGCAAACAGG
RNAcentral lists this ribosomal RNA (253 nucleotides) under uncultured bacterium. RNAcentral describes it as "partial 16S ribosomal RNA". It matches the Rfam family "Bacterial small subunit ribosomal RNA", at positions 524 to 776 of the family's 1533-position model. The record is from RNAcentral.